UACGUAGGCAGCGAGCGUUGUUCGGAGUUACUGGGCGUAAAGGGUGUGUAGGCGGUUGUUUAAGUUUGGUGUGAAAUCUCCCGGCUCAACUGGGAGGGUGCGCCGAAUACUGAAUGACUUGGAGUGCGGGAGAGGUGAGUGGAAUUCCUGGUGUAGCGGUGAAAUGCGUAGAUAUCUGGAGGAACACCGGUGGCGAAGGCGGCAUCCUGGACCGGCAUUGACGCUGAGGCGCGAAAGCCAGGGGAGCAAACGGG
Molecule: ribosomal RNA, 254 nt
Filed under: uncultured bacterium
Lineage: Bacteria
Description: partial 16S ribosomal RNA
Rfam family: Bacterial small subunit ribosomal RNA
Source: RNAcentral